RNAcentral lists this ribosomal RNA (1067 nucleotides) under Umbelopsis ramanniana. Its description in RNAcentral is "eukaryotic LSU rRNA". It matches the Rfam family "Eukaryotic large subunit ribosomal RNA", at positions 1 to 982 of the family's 3401-position model. Lineage: Eukaryota; Fungi; Mucoromycota; Umbelopsidomycetes; Umbelopsidales; Umbelopsidaceae. The record is from RNAcentral.
CAAAUUUUGAUCUGAAAUCAGGUAGGAUUACCCGCUGAACUUAAGCAUAUCAAUAAGCGGAGGAAAAGAAACUAACAAGGAUUCCCUCAGUAACGGCGAGUGAAGCGGGAAGAGCUCAAAUUUAAAAUCUGGUUUACUUGUAAGCCCGAGUUGUAGUCUGAAGAAACGUUUUCCAUAAGCACUGAGGCAAAAGUCCCUUGGAACAGGGCAUCAUAGAGGGUGAGAAUCCCGUCCAUGGUCUCAAGUUGUUUAUUUUGUGAUACGUUUUCAAAGAGUCAGGUUGUUUGGGAAUGCAGCCUAAAAUGGGUGGUAAAUUUCAUCUAAAGCUAAAUAUUGGCGAGAGACCGAUAGCGAACAAGUACCGUGAGGGAAAGAUGAAAAGAACUUUGAAAAGAGAGUUAAACAGUACGUGAAAUUGUUGAAAGGGAACCGUUUGAAGCCAGUCUUACUUGCUCGUGAUCAAUUUUUGCUUCGGCAUGAAUGCACUCUCGGGUAUGGUAGGCCAACGACAGUUUAGAAUGCGAGAAAAAAAUUUGGGAAAUGUGGCCUUCGGGUGUUAUAGUCCCUUAUAAAAUAUCGUGUUCUGGACUGAGGAUCGCAGCAAAAAUGUGGGCAGGUGGAUUUCUGUGGUAACUGUCGGUUAGGACAACUUGUUGACCUAGUCUUCCUUAGCCUCACUAUUUACCUUGCUUCUAAUUUGCUUAGGUCGUUGGCAUAAUGGCUUUAAAUGACCCGUCUUGAAACACGGACCAAGGAGUCUAACAUAUAUGCGAGUAUUUGGGUGGCAAACCCAUAUGCGCAAUGAAAGUGAAAUUAGGUGCCAAACCUUCACGGGUGGCAGCAUCGGCCGGCUCUGACGUUUUAACUGACGAGUCUGAGCAGAAGCAUACAUGUUGGGACCCGAAAGAUGGUGAACUAUGCCUGAAUAGGGUGAAGCCAGAGGAAACUCUGGUGGAGGCUCGUAGCGAUUCUGACGUGCAAAUCGAUCGUCAAAUUUGGGUAUAGGGGCGAAAGACUAAUCGAACCAUCUAGUAGCUGGUUCCUGCCGAAGUUUCCCUCAGGAUAGC